UUAGAAACAAAAACAUCAUCUAUGGCGAGUUGGAGAGUUUUUCUAAAUCAGCUAAUUUGGAUUAAAUUUGGCUUUUAACUCGCUACAAAUCGCUUUAUCUACAUUAUAGCAGCAUUAAGUGGCUGAGCAGGUUAGCGGAUGAUUGCAGCCAGCGACUGGCAUUAAAAUACAGAUAACAUUGAUACUGCUAAUGCAGAAGUGGAAGGCUUGCAUUUAGGAUUUUGCUGAGUAGGGGUCUCGGUAUUAAGGACCCCCUACCUAUUGUAUCUUUAUGUAAGGUAUGAGAAUUUCCCCAAUAACAGUUACGCUGGAGACACCGUGAUUAUUUAAAUUGUUAACAGAGUGCACAAUUUAAAGUGAUUGGUAAAAAAGAGCUCUGUGAUUAUUUAGUUACAAUAUGUAGG
Molecule: non-coding RNA, 404 nt
Organism: Pelobates cultripes (western spadefoot toad)
Lineage: Eukaryota; Metazoa; Chordata; Amphibia; Anura; Pelobatidae
Source: the annotation of a GenBank genome assembly